RNAcentral lists this long non-coding RNA (534 nucleotides) under Cricetulus griseus (Chinese hamster). RNAcentral's name for it is "lncRNA (ENSCGRG00000024289.1)". Lineage: Eukaryota; Metazoa; Chordata; Mammalia; Rodentia; Cricetidae. The record is from RNAcentral.
UAUUCCAACCUUUGUGCUCACCCUACUCUCUCUUUCCUUCUGUGUUCAGACAGGAGUGAUCAGAGGGAUGAACAAGCCACAGCCUCCUGGGCAGAAUUAACCCCUUUGGUGUCAUGGAAAUUAUCUUCCACAAAGGAGGAAACAUGUUACAUCAUAAAGUAGAAUGGCACCAUCCCAGAUCUGCAACCCAACACUUCAGCCAAGUACCAAACAGUUGCAGGACAUCCAUCUCCUCAAACACCUUCCAAGGCAGUUGUGAAACAAGGACACAUACAACACAGGCACCAUUUGAAUGAUUAUUCUGUUGCUCACUGGACUGCUGUGGAUUAUGCUUAUUGUCAAUAAAAAAACUGAUUGGCCAAUAGCAGGGAAAGAAGAGUUUGUAUGAGAUAGCCUGAUGCAGAGAGAGUGUUGGGAGAAAGAAGGACAGAGUCAAGGAGUCACAGGAGACACCAACCAGCUGCCACGAAGCAGAACGUGUAGAAAAUGAGGCAACAAUCCAUGAGCCACAUGGCAAAGCAUAGGUAAGAAAUA